AUACGUAGGUGGCAAGCGUUGUCCGGAUUUACUGGGCGUAAAGGGCGUGUAGGCGGUCUUGCAAGUCAGAAGUGAAAUUCCUGAGCUCAACUCGGGCGCUGCUUCUGAAACUGCAGGACUUGAGUGCUGGAGGGGAUAGCGGAAUUCCUAGUGGAGCGGUAAAAUGCGCAGAUAUUAGGAAGAACACCGGUGGCGAAGGCGGCUAUCUGGACAUUAACUGACGCUGAGGCGCGAAAGCGUGGGGAGCAAACAGGAUUAGAUACCCUGGUAGUCCACGCCGUAAACGACGAAUACUAGGUGUAGGGGGUAUCGACUCCCUCUGUGCCGCAGUUAACACAAUAAGUAUUCCGCCUGGGGAGUACGGCCGCAAGGUUGAAACUCAAAUGAAUUGACGGGG
Molecule: ribosomal RNA, 397 nt
Filed under: uncultured bacterium
Lineage: Bacteria
Description: partial 16S ribosomal RNA
Rfam family: Bacterial small subunit ribosomal RNA
Source: RNAcentral